RNAcentral lists this ribosomal RNA (853 nucleotides) under uncultured bacterium. RNAcentral's name for it is "bacterial SSU rRNA". It matches the Rfam family "Bacterial small subunit ribosomal RNA", at positions 54 to 904 of the family's 1533-position model. The record is from RNAcentral.
CAUGCAAGUCGAGCGGGGACGCAUUUUGGAAGUUUUCGGAUGGAAGAAGUGUGUUCUAGCGGCGGACGGGUGAGUAACGCGUGAGCAACCUGUCCCUCACAGGGGAAUAACGCAUCGAAAGGUGUGCUAAUACCGCAUGAGACCACGGUACCGACAUGGUACAGGGGUUAAAGGAGCAAUCCGGUGAGGGGUGGGCUCGCGUCUGAUUAGCUAGUUGGUGAGGUAACGGCUCACCAAGGCGACGAUCAGUAGCCGACCUGAGAGGGUGAUCGGCCACAUUGGAACUGAGAAACGGUCCAAACUCCUACGGGAGGCAGCAGUGGGGAAUAUUGGGCAAUGGGCGAAAGCCUGACCCAGCAACGCCGCGUGAAGGAAGAAGGUUUUCGGAUCGUAAACUUCUAUCCUAGGUGAAGAUAAUGACGGUAGCCUAGAAGGAAGCCCCGGCUAACUACGUGCCAGCAGCCGCGGUAAUACGUAGGGGGCAAGCGUUGUCCGGAAUGAUUGGGCGUAAAGGGCGCGUAGGCGGCCUGGUAAGUUUGGAGUGAAAGUCCUGCUUUUAAGGUGGGAAUUGCUUUGAAAACUGCUGGGCUUGAGUGCAGGAGAGGUAAGUGGAAUUCCCGGUGUAGCGGUGAAAUGCGUAGAGAUCGGGAGGAACACCAGUGGCGAAGGCGACUUACUGGACUGUUACUGACGCUGAGGCGCGAAAGUGUGGGGAGCAAACAGGAUUAGAUACCCUGGUAGUCCACACUGUAAACGAUGAAUGCUAGGUGUAGGGGGUAUCGACCCCUUCUGUGCCGGAGUAAACACAAUAAGCAUUCCGCCUGGGGAGUACGGCCGCAAGGUUGAAACUCAA